GAGAUUCUUAGAGAGGCACAGAGUCCUUCUCUACCACGUGGCUUAGAAGCCCAAUUUCAAAAUGGCGACAGCGGAGAUUCUACCCACGAGUCGCAGUCUGAGGGAGAAGAAUCAGACACUGAAAUUCAGGACUUACAGAGAAAUUUUAACAGGCUGCAUUUAACACCACCUGCCCAGGCUAUUAGAAUUCGGCCAUUACCUGCUAAAAGGACAAAAUUUAACAGGUACUCUAAAUUAACAAUGACUCUUCUUACCCCGUUCCAGCGAGGUAUUAAGAAGGCACAAGAAGCGGGGGAAGAUAUUAGCGGUUUUCAACUUUUCCCAGUUUUUGAACAGAUUAAUGAGCAAGAUCAGAGAGUUAGAGUUCAUGCUGUAAUUCCAUUUAAAACCAUUAAGGAAUUGAAAAGUGCAUGCGAGAUGUAUGGUCCGAGUACGCCUUUUGUACAGAACCUAAUCGAUAAUAUCUCCCCGCAGCCUCUCCCACCUAGUGAUUGGAUUUCAUUAGCCAGAUCUUGUUUGAGUGGAGGGGAUUUCUUACUUUGGCAUUCUUAUUGGACUGAUUUUUGUACUGAACAGGCAGAAAAAAAUAGAAAACAGAAUUUACAGACCCCAGUAGAAAUGUUUUUAGGAAUGGGUGAAUUUGCUGAUUUGGAAAGACAGUUAAAUUAUUAAUUUGUAAUAUAUGAUCAAAUAACUAAUUGUGCUAAACGUGCCUGGAAGCAAAUAGUCUCCAAAGACCAGUCCAAUUUAGUUCUUACCAGAGUCAGGCAGGGUGCGAGUGAGCUGUACUCAGAUUUCGUAGCCCGAUUGUAUCAGACAGCAAAUAGGUCUAUCUGGGACCCUGGGGCGUGCGAGUUUAUUGUUAAGCAGUUGGCAUUUGAAAAUGCAAAUAAAUAUUGUCAGGACAUUCUUAGUCCGCACCGUAAAAAAGGAACAGUUUCUGAGUUUAUCCACUUGUGUUCUGAGAUAGACUCUACCCAUUUGCAGACAGUAACUCUAGCCACGGCACUAAAAGAAACUCUAAAGCCGCAGGAAUUAGUACGGGAGAUGCUAUCUUUGCAGGAGAAAUAACCAUUAUGUGCGCGAAUGUCGCAUGCGUAAUUUUAAGUUCAGGGCUCCAUCUACUGGUGAUAAUAGAUAUUGCAGGACUCAACCCCACGUGGCGGAUCAAGAUGGUGGGGAAUUCCAGGAGAGGUCGCACAGUGUGACAUCACUGGCGCCCACCAGGACGGCCCACAAUUUUUAACGGUACGUAGAUCACAGACAGUUUCCUUAGGACCCUCAACGACAAUUGAAUUGAAUCCUGAAUCAGGGCCAAAACAAAUCCCUACUGGGAUUUUCGGGCUGCUUCCUGAUAAUACUAUAGGUUUAAUUUUGGGACAUUAUAAUUUAAAAGGAGCCAUUGAGGUAAUACCUGGUGUGAUAGAUUCAAAUUUUAAAGGACAAUUAAAUGUUACUGUAAGGUCCAAUUAUGCCCUAAGGCUCACUCCAAAGGAUACAUUUGCCCAAUUGAUUUUAUUGCCCUGUGAUUCGGAUAGACACCCGCGAGUAAAUUCAGUUUCUAAACCGCCGGACAGAGUGUACUGGUUGCAAUUGGUGCGACAAGAAUGCCCUUUAUUAGAACUUAAAAUUAAUCAUAAAAGGUUCCAGGGCAUUCUCGACACAGGGGCUGACAUUUUGGUCUUUUCUAGUAAAUUCUGGCCUAGGAAUUGGCCCUUACUUGUAGCACCAGCUAACCCAGAGGGAAUUGGACAAAUUUCACAGCCUGCUCAAAGUGCAAAUUAUCUCCAUUGGGAAGAUUCUGAUGGGAACAGUGGAGUUUUUAAACCUUAUAUGUUAGAGUCUUUACCAGCAAACCUAUGGGGAAGGGAUAUUUUAGCCAAAAUGGGAUUGUUAUUAGUUACUCCAAAUUCUAUAAGGUCAGUUGAGGAAGUUAAUCAGAGAUAUUUUCCUGGAGAUGAUAAGGAGACCCUUCAGGGAGAGUAUCUGUUUACAAACCAGUCUCCACGACAAAGAUUAGUAAAUGCUCCAAGCCAAAAUUUUUACUAGGGGCCCUGAGUAUUUCCCCGAUCCCUAAGACAGCUGAAAAAAUCACCUGGCUCACAGAGGAGCCUCUAUGGAUUUCUCAGUGGCCCAUCUCAGGGGAAAAACUUAAAAUAAUUCAUAGGUUAGUUGAGGAACAACUUCAGGCUGGUCAUAUAGAACCAACACUCAGUCCUUGGAACACACCUAUUUUUGUUAUUAAGAAAAAGUCCGGAAAUUGGAGAUUGCUACAGGAAUUAAGGGCGAUAAAUCAUGCAAUUCAGCCUAUGGGAUCAUUUCAGCCAGGACUUCCUUCCCCCACAGCCAUCCCUUUAAACUAUAGCUUGAUGGUAAUAGAUUUAAAAGAUUGUUUUUUCUCUAUAAGGUUACAUCCUGGAGAUUGUGAGAGAUUUGCCUUCACUGUCCCAGCAAUUAAUUUUAAGGAACCUGUUAAAAGAUAUUGCUGGAAAGUACUCCCCCAGGGAAUGCAUAAUAUUCCUACCUUAUGCCAAAAAUAUGUUGAUCAGGUGAUAGAUCCCAUAAGAAAUAGCUUUCCGGAUGUGUAUAUUAUUCAUUUUAUGGAUGAUAUAUUAUUGGCUCAUGCUAAUCCAGAGGUACUUUCAGAAAUUUUUACUCAGAGGCUUCACUUACAGCAAUGGGUUUAUGCAUUACUCCUCAAAAAAUUCAAAAGAUGCCUCCUUUUCAAUAUCUAGGUCAGAUAAUUCAAGGACAUAAAUCCGUCCUCAAAAUCUUCAGAUAAGAGUUAAGGAGUUACAUACCCUUAAUGAUUUUCAAAAGCUAUUAGGAGCUAUUAAUUGGCUGAGACCAUCCUUAAAACUAACUACUUCUGAGUUAAGUCCUUUAUUUCAGAUUUUACAAGGAAAUCCUUCUCUAACCUCUCCACGUCAGCUAACCUUAGAGGCUAGAACAGCUUUAAAAAAGGUUGAAAAUGCAAUUAAAAAUUCACAGCUUACUAGAGUUGAUCCUAAAGAAAUAGUGUAUUUAUUAAUAUUUCCAACUGAGCAUACCCCAACAGGAGCCAUAUGGCAAAGAUUAGGAGUUAUUGAGUGGAUUUAUUUAUCCCACUCCCCUCAAAAAACAUUAAUUCCUUUCCAUGACUCUAUAGCUCAAUUAGUAAUUAAAGGCAGAACUAGGAUUUUACAAUUAAUUGGAUCUGAGCCUGAUAUCAUAAUUAUUCCAUUUUCUGUUCAACAGACUAAUUGGCUUUUUCAAACUUCUAGCUUAUGGCAGAUAGCUUUUGCUGAUUUUCCUGGCUAGAUAGAUAGCCAUUACCCUCGUGAUAAGAUUAUCCAAUUUGCAUCAUUAAUGUCACUUAUUUUUCCAAAGAUUGUGCGUGCACAUCCUAUGGAUGAAGCUUUAUCGGUGUUCACUGAUGGUUCAAGCUCAGGUAAAGCAGGUUUUUAUAGUCGUGUUCACACAGAGGUAAUGCAAACUUCAUAUACUUCUGCCCAAAGAGCAGAGCUUCAAGCUCUGAUUUGUGCCUUAAAUUGUUUUUCAAAUGAGCCUAUUAAUAUUUAUUCCAACAGCUUAUAUGCAGUCGGAGUUACCAAAAAUAUUGAAACUUCAGUUAUUGGGUAUACUUCAUCACAAGAGUUAUUUGAAUUAUUUCAUAAUUUACAGAAGGCAGUGCUAAUGCGAAAAUACCCAUGUUUCAUAGGACACAUACGAGCUCAUACUAAUCUUCCUGGACCUUUAGUUUCAGGUAAUGACAAAAUUGAUAAAUUAGUAGCUUUUUGUCAACAGAUGUCUUCAUAUGACUGUGUACAAGCUUCCCAUUCCUUGCAUCAUCAAAAUGCUUCUAGCUUACAUAAAAAAUUUAAUAUUACCAGAGAACAAGCUCAUCAAAUUGUAAGCCAAUGCCCUAAGUGUGUUAUUCACACUCCAUCUCCACCAUCAGGGGUAAAUCCCCGUGGAUUAAAACCAAAUCAAAUAUGGCAAAUGGAUAUAACUCAUAUUCCUCAAUUUGGUAAGCAAUGUUAUGUACAUGUCAUAGUGGACACAUAUUCCAGAUUUAUUUUUGCCACAGCACGUACUAAGGAAAAUACUCAACAUGUAAUUUCUCAUUGCCUAGCAGCUUUUUCUGUGUUAGGGUGCCCUAUGCAGAUUAAAACAGAUAAUGCUCCAGUUUAUGUAAGCUCUUCUUUUCAACAAUUUUGCCAAGAGUUUCAAAUUAAUCAUAAAACAGGAAUUCCUUAUAACCCCUAAGGUCAAGCCAUUGUGGAACAAGCUCAUUUAUCUAUUAAGCUUCAAUUACAAAAAUUAAAAGGGGGGGGAAUAGGGUUAUGACUCCCCAAAAUAGCCUCAAUCAUGGUUUGUUCAUUUUAAAUUUUUUAAACUGACGCAGAAGGUCACACUGCAGCUGAGAGGCAAAUGUCUCCCUCAGUAACAGGCCCUUUAGGCAGAGUUUUGUGGAAAGAUUUACAGACUGGUCAAUGGAAAGGCCCAGACCCAGUGAUUAUGUGGGGCAGAGGUCAUGCUUGUAUUUUUCCAGAAGGUGCUUUUCAUCCUAUCUGGGUGCCUGAACGUGCAAUUAGACAUGGAAGAGAUAGAACCGAGAUUCAAGCGACUGAAGAUCGACCCAGAGGAGCCCCCAUCCAAAAGGAAGAGAUAUCGGAAAAAGAUGAAGAAAAACCAAAUUGACCCAGCUGAAAAGCUGAUUUCAUGGGGAGAGGUGAAGAAGCUAACAACACAGGCUUCCCGAAUACUUCGACUCCUAGGAAAGAACAGGACUCCAGUCUUGAUGGUAGCGACAGUAAUUGCCCUGCUGGGCUGUCAGGAUGGCGAGUCUUCAGAACAAGAAUGCAGAAACUCAAAAGAGUGAACCACCGCCUCAUUUUUAAGAGAAAAAAGGGGGAAUAUGUGGGAAGCCAUUCUCGCACGUGAUUGGGCACCUCCCGGAUUGGGUGUGAGGCGCUCUGGCUAAACUGUGUUGGAGCUUUCCCCACCCUCUCCUGGUGCGGGAGCCUGUCCGUGUGGGGGUGUGACUGACCACUGACCCUGAGGCCAAUCACUGACCUUGACCUUGGAAUGCUGCUCCCCUCGACCUUCAUUGGAUGGAAUUUUCCCCUGAAUUUCUUGUUCCCCAAUAAAAGGCCACUCCCUGGCGUGCUCUCUCUCUCUCUCCUGCUAGCCCUGAGUAAGCCUUGCUGCCCUACCGGGUGGUUCGAGGUGUGAGCCAGAGAGGUGAGAGCCGUCUUGGACCUGGUCAUAGAAAAAGGUAAUUGAGUCUUUGCGUUUAUUUUGAUCUCGCUAGUUAACUUUUAUGCCAUGAACCUCUUUAAUGAAACUAGUGCGCUGGUCGCAUGGUGGAAAUUUGCCAUACUAGAACUUGCUGUGUAUCUUUCUACCCUUUUAAUUUAUUGGGUAAAUAACAAAUAAAUAUGUUUUAUUCAUGCCUAGCCCUAGCCAUGGGAUAGGAGAAUGUCCCAUUGUGUGAAGGAGAAUUGUCUUUAGCUACAAGAUAAUCAUGAGCAUGGAGGUACUUUGUUCUAGUCAUGUUCAUUUUACUUUCUCUACUUCUGCCAUCUACUCUGUUCUAUCCCAUUUUUUCAAUAUAUCUUCUCCAUCCCUCAGUGUCCUUCUCCAUCUUUUUCAUAUUAAAAACAUUUGUUUGAAUCUCACCAGUACUAUAUGGGUUUGUCAAUUCAGGAAUUGGUAAUGUUCAGGGACCUGAGACUGUAGACUUCUCUCAGGAAAAGUACAAAUGCCUUGCCCCUGGUUAGAGGGAUUUAUGUAGAUAUGCAGUGAUAGAUAACUCCACCAACCUAGUCUUACUUGAUAAGGAUAUCAAUUUCCAAAUAACUUAUGGAUUUUGGGUGUGUCUUUCAAUUGUCUGGGUGGGUGUAUGCCUUCCUAGGGAAUUGUUUUAUGCUUUGGAGAUAAGGAAACAGGCAGGCUGCUCAUUGAGAUCCCUUUAUCGUCUCCAUACUUCAGACCUUCAUACUUUCUUCUUGUCUUUUCUGUAGUUGCUGUUUCCUUGAGCACUAAGGACUAGGUUUGAAUUCAGAAACAAGCAGGAAUAUAUCUUUUUUCUUGUAAACAGGACUCUGUACUCCUAAGCCUGAUGUGAUUUCCCUGUUGGAGCAAGGGAAAGAAUCAUGAUGGUCUCAAGGGACAUUAUGGGAGGAUGGUGCCCAGGUAAGUAAGGAUUCUGAACAGGUAGGCAGGCAG
This 6213-nucleotide long non-coding RNA is filed under the name Marmota monax (woodchuck). The record is from RNAcentral. Lineage: Eukaryota; Metazoa; Chordata; Mammalia; Rodentia; Sciuridae.